Molecule: ribosomal RNA, 1248 nt
Filed under: 'Amaranthus hypochondriacus' phytoplasma
Lineage: Bacteria; Bacillati; Mycoplasmatota; Mollicutes; Acholeplasmatales; Acholeplasmataceae
Description: bacterial SSU rRNA
Rfam family: Bacterial small subunit ribosomal RNA
Source: RNAcentral
GAAACGACUGCUAAGACUGGAUAGGAAGAAAUAAGGCAUCUUAUUUCUUUUAAAAGACCUAGUAAUAGGUAUACUUUAGGAGGGGCUUGCGCCAUAUUAGUUAGUUGGUAGGGUAAUGGCCUACCAAGACGACGAUGUGUAGCUGGACUGAGAGGUUGAACAGCCACAUUGGGACUGAGACACGGCCCAAACUCCUACGGGAGGCAGCAGUAAGGAAUUUUCGGCAAUGGAGGAAACUCUGACCGAGCAACGCCGCGUGAACGACGAAGUACUUUGGUAUGUAAAGUUCUUUUAUCAAGGAAGAAAAGCAAGUGGCGAACCAUUUGUUUGCCGGUACUUGAUGAACAAGCCCCGGCUAAUUAUGUGCCAGCAGCCGCGGUAAGACAUAAGGGGCAAGUGCUAUCCGGAAUUAUUGGGCGUAAAGGGUGCGUAGGCGGUCUAGUAAGUCAGUGGUGUAAUGGCAACGCUCAACGUUGUCCGGCUAUUGAAGCUGCUAAACUUGAGUUAGAUAGAGGCGAGUGGAAUUCCAUGUGUAGCGGUAAAAUGCGUAAAUAUAUGGAGGAACACCAGAGGCGUAGGCGGCUCGCUGGGUCUUAACUGACGCUGAGGCACGAAAGCGUGGGGAGCAAACAGGAUUAGAUACCCUGGUAGUCCACGCCGUAAACGAUGAGUACUAAGUGUCGGGUUAAACCGGUACUGAAGGUAACACAUUAAGUACUCCGCCUGAGUAGUACGUACGCAAGUAUGAAACUUAAAGGAAUUGACGGGACUCCGCACAAGCGGUGGAUCAUGUUGUUUAAUUCGAAGAUACCCGAAAAACCUUACCAGGUCUUGACAUGUUUUUGCGAAACGGUAGUAAUAUCGUAGAGGUUAUCAGAAACACAGGUGGUGCAUGGUUGUCGUCAGCUCGUGUCGUGAGAUGUUAGGUUAAGUCCUAAAACGAGCGAAACCCUUAUCGUUAGUUGCCAGCACGUUAUGGUGGGUACUUUAACGAGACUGCCAGUGAUAAACUGGAGGAAGGUGAGGAUCACGUCAAAUCAGCAUGCCCCUUAUGACCUGGGCUACAAACGUGAUACAAUGGCUGUUACAAAGGGUAGCUGAAACGUAAGUUCUUGGCCAAUCCCCAAAAACAGUCUCAGUCCGGAUUGAAGUCUGCAACUCGACUUCAUGAAGUUGGAAUCGCUAGUAAUCGCGAAUCAGCAUGUCGCGGUGAAUACGUUCGCGGGGUUUGUACACACCGCCCGUCAA